UAUGAAUAUGUAUAUUCGAAUGGUAUGAAAUGGAAGAAGGGACUACGUAAAAGAAUAAAUUUAGUGUAUAUUUCAGUUAACAAUAAAACAAAAGAGUAUUGAUAGUUUAUAAUGUGUUAGAACGAGAAAUAUACAACGAAAAAAAAAUAGAAAAAUAUAUAUAUUUCUACACGAAUGUAUCCAAUGACAUAACCUAAAAUUUUUGAAUUGUUGAAAGAGGAAAAGCGAAAAUAUUCUUAACGGAUAUGAUUUCUCUAGAUAAAUCGAGGAGAAAGGGGGAAAUAAGGAAGAGAGACGGAUUAAUAGGAGAAUCAUAGGAGCAAUGACGUUAUCCUGGGAUAACGGGUGACCAGGUGCAUCGGGCACAUCGCCACCUAGGAAGUGGGUACGAGGUCUGACGGUUGCCUCGUCAUCUUGACCAUUCUGCAGGAUACGGUAUAAUAUCGUACCAUGGAAAUAUCGUGGAUAAUCAGCUUUUAACACGUUGAACACUGCACCGAGAAUCAAGGAUCUUGCUACAAAUCCAUUUGUGAUUUCUGUUUUAGAAGAAUGAAGGAUUCUGUACAAAAUCAUUGCUUUAAGUUAAUAAUUAUAGAAUUGAUGAACCUAUUUCAUUUGAGGAAUUAUCCUUAAUUUGCACUACAAAGGUCAAAAAAAUAAAUACUAAAAUACAUUUUUUUUUUAUUUCAUAUAAUAACUUUCCAAGAAUAUGAUAUUUUGAAAAUGACCAAUGAUAUACAUAAUGAUAUACACAAAUCAGAAAGAGAUACGUGUCAUAUUUAAUAAAUAGAUAUAUUAUAAUAUUUAAAGGUAAUAAGUAUUAAUUAAGACACGGAAGUAAUAAUUUUAUACACUUUUCAAUUGGCCAAAAAUUAAAACGUGAAAUUAACAUCUCUUAUGAUCACUUACGAUCAUAUUAAUUCAACGUCAAAUUGGUAUAAAAUUUGCGAAAUGUGCGUGCAUAGAUAAAUAGCGUAUAACGUAAGAAGCGUGCCAGGUCGAGGGUAAUUUAAAGUUCGUAUAAGUAACAUAAUUGCAGGCAAGGU
Molecule: long non-coding RNA, 1046 nt
Organism: Apis mellifera (honey bee)
Lineage: Eukaryota; Metazoa; Arthropoda; Insecta; Hymenoptera; Apidae
Exons: 3
Source: RefSeq, a predicted model, not a curated record